Molecule: ribosomal RNA, 397 nt
Filed under: uncultured bacterium
Lineage: Bacteria
Description: bacterial SSU rRNA
Rfam family: Bacterial small subunit ribosomal RNA
Source: RNAcentral
AUUGAACGCUGGCGGCAUGCUUUACACAUGCAAGUCGAACGGUAGACCCUUUCGGGGGUUGAGAGUGGCGAACGGGUGAGUAAUGCAUCGGAACGUGCCUAGUCGUGGGGGAUAACGUAGCGAAAGUUACGCUAAUACCGCAUACGCACUGAGGUGGAAAGCGGGGGACCGUAAGGCCUCGCGCGAUUGGAGCGGCCGAUGUCGGAUUAGCUAGUUGGUGAGGUAAAGGCUCACCAAGGCGACGAUCCGUAGCGGGUCUGAGAGGAUGAUCCGCCACACUGGGACUGAGACACGGCCCAGACUCCUACGGGAGGCAGCAGUGGGGAAUUUUGGACAAUGGGCGCAAGCCUGAUCCAGCCAUGCCGCGUGCGGGAAGAAGGCCUCGGUUGUAACGUAC